This 1416-nucleotide ribosomal RNA is filed under the name Staphylococcus aureus. RNAcentral's name for it is "partial 23S ribosomal RNA". It matches the Rfam family "Bacterial large subunit ribosomal RNA", at positions 535 to 1954 of the family's 2925-position model. Lineage: Bacteria; Bacillati; Bacillota; Bacilli; Caryophanales; Staphylococcaceae. The record is from RNAcentral.
GGAGUGAAAUAGAACCUGAAACCGUGUGCUUACAAGUAGUCAGAGCCCGUUAAUGGGUGAUGGCGUGCCUUUUGUAGAAUGAACCGGCGAGUUACGAUUUGAUGCAAGGUUAAGCAGUAAAUGUGGAGCCGUAGCGAAAGCGAGUCUGAAUAGGGCGUUUAGUAUUUGGUCGUAGACCCGAAACCAGGUGAUCUACCCUUGGUCAGGUUGAAGUUCAGGUAACACUGAAUGGAGGACCGAACCGACUUACGUUGAAAAGUGAGCGGAUGAACUGAGGGUAGCGGAGAAAUUCCAAUCGAACCUGGAGAUAGCUGGUUCUCUCCGAAAUAGCUUUAGGGCUAGCCUCAAGUGAUGAUUAUUGGAGGUAGAGCACUGUUUGGACGAGGGGCCCCUCUCGGGUUACCGAAUUCAGACAAACUCCGAAUGCCAAUUAAUUUAACUUGGGAGUCAGAACAUGGGUGAUAAGGUCCGUGUUCGAAAGGGAAACAGCCCAGACCACCAGCUAAGGUCCCAAAAUAUAUGUUAAGUGGAAAAGGAUGUGGCGUUGCCCAGACAACUAGGAUGUUGGCUUAGAAGCAGCCAUCAUUUAAAGAGUGCGUAAUAGCUCACUAGUCGAGUGACACUGCGCCGAAAAUGUACCGGGGCUAAACAUAUUACCGAAGCUGUGGAUUGUCCUUUGGACAAUGGUAGGAGAGCGUUCUAAGGGCGUUGAAGCAUGAUCGUAAGGACAUGUGGAGCGCUUAGAAGUGAGAAUGCCGGUGUGAGUAGCGAAAGACGGGUGAGAAUCCCGUCCACCGAUUGACUAAGGUUUCCAGAGGAAGGCUCGUCCGCUCUGGGUUAGUCGGGUCCUAAGCUGAGGCCGACAGGCGUAGGCGAUGGAUAACAGGUUGAUAUUCCUGUACCACCUAUAAUCGUUUUAAUCGAUGGGGGGACGCAGUAGGAUAGGCGAAGCGUGCGAUUGGAUUGCACGUCUAAGCAGUAAGGCUGAGUAUUAGGCAAAUCCGGUACUCGUUAAGGCUGAGCUGUGAUGGGGAGAAGACAUUGUGUCUUCGAGUCGUUGAUUUCACACUGCCGAGAAAAGCCUCUAGAUAGAAAAUAGGUGCCCGUACCGCAAACCGACACAGGUAGUCAAGAUGAGAAUUCUAAGGUGAGCGAGCGAACUCUCGUUAAGGAACUCGGCAAAAUGACCCCGUAACUUCGGGAGAAGGGGUGCUCUUUAGGGUUAACGCCCAGAAGAGCCGCAGUGAAUAGGCCCAAGCGACUGUUUAUCAAAAACACAGGUCUCUGCUAAACCGUAAGGUGAUGUAUAGGGGCUGACGCCUGCCCGGUGCUGGAAGGUUAAGAGGAGUGGUUAGCUUCUGCGAAGCUACGAAUCGAAGCCCCAGUAAACGGCGGCCGUAACUAUAACGGUCCUAA